RNAcentral lists this ribosomal RNA (230 nucleotides) under uncultured bacterium. RNAcentral's name for it is "partial 16S ribosomal RNA". It matches the Rfam family "Bacterial small subunit ribosomal RNA", at positions 565 to 791 of the family's 1533-position model. The record is from RNAcentral.
GGGGUGGCGUAGGCGGUUUAUUUAAGUCAGUGGUGAAAGACGGUCGCUCAACGAUUGCAGUGCCAUUGAUACUGGUAGACUUGAGUGAGAUUGAGGUAGCUGGAAUGGAUAGUGUAGCGGUGAAAUGCAUAGAUAUUAUCCAGAACACCAAUUGCGUAGGCAAGUUACUAAGUCUCAACUGACGCUGAGGCACGAAAGUGUGGGUAUCAAACAGGAUUAGAUACCCGUGU